This 1075-nucleotide long non-coding RNA is filed under the name Pomacea canaliculata. Its description in RNAcentral is "uncharacterized LOC112567616, transcript variant X2". The record is from RNAcentral. Lineage: Eukaryota; Metazoa; Mollusca; Gastropoda; Architaenioglossa; Ampullariidae.
CAGAGAAAACACGGGCUGUUUAUUUGAAUAGCUGCUUGUCGUGGUGGCAAUGGUGGCGGAGGGGAUGGUUGUUUCUGAUGACUUCAUUAUGACUAUGUUUGCUAUCAGUUUCUCUCACAACAGUUGUGACGAGCUCCCUGUAACAGGGAUCGGGUGCUCACCCGAGGGCGUGAGGUACCGAUAUGACGCAGUAACGAUUGACGGUCAUUACACGUAUCCACACUCCCGGCUUUUCAGGGUGCACCAACCCUUAUCUGUAUCAUUUAUUCUGUGAUUGAUCCGUUCGCCCGUCUGUCAGCUCGUGCUACUUGACGUGUCAGAACAGUAUGUGGUACCCCACCCUUUUGAGUGUACUUGCUAUUCUUGUGUGUUAUUGCCUUCCAGAGCCACACCCUCGUCGACUUUAUUGGAUUAUUAUGUGCUUGAGUAUUUUUAUAUUCUUAAAGUAUUAGGUACAUAUUUUUAAUUGUUUGUUGGGGUUUUUUAUUUCUUUUAUUUAUUUUAUUUUUUUUUUUUUUGUGCUUUUCUUUCAUUUUUUUCUUCUUUCCUUUUUAAGUUGUAGGCACAAACAAAACAUGCAAUUAAGUUUAACACCCCUUCAACACGUAUGUCAAUAUUUGUCUACAGAAGAGCAAGGACUAUCCAUAAUGCAAUGUGCAUUAGUAGUUGGUGAUCACAGUAUUUUCGUCGUUUUGACAAGAGAUGCUUGCCCACCAAGCUGUAACUCAGCAGUUGGAUGACAGGGCUGCCACCAUCUUGAGCCGCAAGCCAAGCAUUGGGGGUCCUGCACGUGCGGCUACAGAAGCCAGUAAAAGCCACCAGCCAGACCCCCCACAAACGGUUGGUCGUGUAGAAGCCUGGUGACAGAGGAAUGUUUACAUGUAAAGCCCUCCAUUGACAGCAGAUGGAACAGAUAUGAUCAGCUUUUGUUCUACUUCGUGAAGUACUGCCACAGAUCUUGCUGCUGAGGAUGAGGACAGAUGUUUCUGCGAGUCAACACACUACAAAAACGACCAAAAAGCGUUUCUGACGUAGAAGUUCAAAUAUUAAUCGAUAAAGCAAUAUAAACGCUCAA